UGUUAAGACAGAAUUCAUGGUACAAGCUUACAUGGCAAGAGGUAAAUGUGGGCGAUAUUGUGAAGGCCUGCAACAGGGAGUUCCUUCCUGCAGACUUAGUCCUGAUUUCUUCCAGGCUUUGUCAGAAACAGCUGAAAUGAAAACGGAAAAGCAGUUGUUAGACCUCGCUGGAAGACUAGAAUGUGAAGGACCUAAUCGUCAUCUUGAUAGCUUUUCUGGAACUUGGUGGCUAAGGGAUAAAAGGUAUCAUCUUUUUCUUCUUAA
This 264-nucleotide long non-coding RNA is filed under the name Microcebus murinus (gray mouse lemur). RNAcentral describes it as "lncRNA (ENSMICG00000048600.1)". The record is from RNAcentral. Lineage: Eukaryota; Metazoa; Chordata; Mammalia; Primates; Cheirogaleidae.